GAGGGGCUUUGCUACAUACUAACCAAUUUUGGGUGUUUCUUGUUGAAGGCUAUCACAUCGGCCAAGCUUCUCACUGGGGAAGCAACUAAGUCUCCGAGGUGCAGUUCGAAAGUAUCAUGCAUAAAAGUGUCAUUUCCAAAACCGUAGAAUGUUCUUACAACACCUAAUCUCUUUCCUCUCAGUCCAUCUUUCUUUAGAAAUUGAGCAUAGCCACCUCUUGGGAGAUACUUUGAUGCUUUGAUUGUUGCCUUAUCAUUGACGUCGAUGCCUGCAAUGGUUUCAAGAACAAGAGCAGCAUCUGAUACAGUCCUGCAAAUUGGUCUGUACCAGCCCACAAGAAGUUACACAUUUAAUGCAACAAAAUUAUUUUGACGGGAAAAGUAAUAAUGCUUGCAAAGUGCAAAUAGUUUUGAUAUAAAGAAAAUAGCAAAUUACAUUAAUACUUCUUAAGAAUUUUUCGAAUUACAUAAAAUACUAUUCUUUGUUUAAUGUU
This is a long non-coding RNA of Glycine soja, 493 nucleotides long. RefSeq lists it as uncharacterized. The record is from RefSeq and is a predicted model, not a curated record. The transcript is spliced from 2 exons. NCBI's taxonomy places the organism in Eukaryota, Viridiplantae, Streptophyta, Magnoliopsida, Fabales, Fabaceae.